AGAGGAUGUACCAACUGAGAGGAAAUCUGCAUGAUAACUCAAGAGGAAGUUUUACCUGUGGAAUGCCCAAAAUGAGAAAUGGAUGGGAGAAAAGCUCAUUCGGGGCCUCUAUGGAGGGGACCCUAAGUAGCCAAAUGGUAGCAUGAGGUCUCCAGAGAUUUAUGGCUGUGAGGAUUUCACCUCUCUUCUGACUCAGUGUCUGGGUGGUGGCAUCCCCCAAUGGAAAAGAAAUCCCUUGACAAGCCCAGGCGGUCUAGGCCCCUGGAGGUCUUCCAAGAAUACAGUCAAGCAAAUGCAGGAAGGAAGCCGGGCAAAGGCAAGAAGAUUUCAAGCAUCCAUCCAAAGCAGAUUCACUCAAGAUUUCACUAUAAUCUCCACAAACUGCAUAAAAUAACUAUCAUUAGGCAAGUUCUGGCUUCUUGUAUAGUUGAGAAUCCUCCUUGACUUUCAUUAGAAACACACACCACGCCAUACAUUGAUAUGGUACUCUGUCUGCAUUCCCUCUGCACGUUUGCAUGAAUGAGCUUAUCCAUUUCACUUGCUCUGAUUAUUUUGAAAGACUAAUAAU
Molecule: long non-coding RNA, 568 nt
Organism: Eptesicus fuscus (big brown bat)
Lineage: Eukaryota; Metazoa; Chordata; Mammalia; Chiroptera; Vespertilionidae
Exons: 5
Source: RefSeq, a predicted model, not a curated record